Physeter macrocephalus (sperm whale) is the source of this 1398-nucleotide long non-coding RNA. RefSeq lists it as uncharacterized. The transcript is spliced from 2 exons. The record is from RefSeq and is a predicted model, not a curated record. Lineage: Eukaryota; Metazoa; Chordata; Mammalia; Artiodactyla; Physeteridae.
GGUCAUCCUUUUUUAAAAAGAAUUGCCUUAGACUUCUGUGAUGUACUAUUGCUAGGCUUUAUCUGUAUACUACACUGUCUUUACCGUGGGUUGCAUGGAACAGAAUAAGAAAUGAGUCCUUAAAAAAAGAAGGGAAGAAGGGGAGGGAGAGGGAAGGAGGAAGGAAGUCUUUAUUGUCAUAAAUUCUAGAUUUGAAGUCUUUGGUACAUUUUAAGAUAUAUAUCAAAAUUAGGGCUAUUUUUUACACAUAGAAAUGAUGUUUUUGAAUACUCAGUAUGUUCAUUGCUUGGUAGCAGAAUUUUAGUGUAGAAUAUAGUUUCUAAAUACUCAACAGUAUAAAGCAAUAUAUAGCACCCAUGGGGGAGAUGGACGUUAUUUUAUUUUCAAGUUCAUCCUUAAACCUAGGGGUUGUUUUCUUAUCACUAUAUAGUAACCCUUUGGUGUCCUGCACGUAGUAAGUGCUGUUUAUUAACUUUCUUAUUCAAAUUAAAUAAGAGGGACUUCCCUGGUGGCGCAGUGGUUAAGAAUCCGCCUGCCAAUGCAGGGGACACGGGUUCAGUCCCUGGUCCAGGAAGAUCCCACGUGCCGUGGAGCAGCUCAGCCCGUGCGCUCGCUGCAACUAGAGAAAGCCCGCGUGCAGCAGCGAAGACCCAAUGCGGACAAAAAUUAAAAUUAAUUAAUUAAUUAAAUACACAUUCUUAAAAAAAAUAAAAAUAAAAAAAUCAAAUAAGAGCUGCAAAGAACGUGACUCAGCUAAAACAUACUUCUUAUGUCCUGCCACCCGAACAUACGAUUAGGAUAUAAUGUGUUUCAAGGAACUGAUUCAUUAGGAAAACAUACAGUACAAGGCAGGGUAAUCAUAUGUCCUAUAAAAGUUUAAAUAAAGAGAUGGGGGGUGUAAGGAUGGGAGGAAUAUUAUUUCUGUGGGCAGAUGUAGCCUAUAAUGUGAGUAAGCACAUGCUGUAUGUGCCUAGCACAGUGCUCCAUACACGUGAAUAAAUAAUCCUAGUCCUGUUCUGUUUUUUGCAGGGUCCUAUCAGUGGCGUGAAUAGAGAUAUUUCAAUCCUUCAGUGCCAUGGAGAUUUGGAUCUUUUAGUUCCCCUAAUGUUUGGUUCUCUUACUGCUGAAAGGCUAAAGACAUUGGUAAAUCCAAGCAAUGUAACCUUCAAAACCUAUGCAGGCAUGAUGCACAGUUCAUGUCAGCAGGAAAUGAUGGAUAUCAAGCAGUUCAUUGAUAAACGCCUGCCUCCCAUGGAUGACGUCACCGAGAGGCCUGUGGAGAAGUGCACGCCAGCGUCAUCGCCGUAGAGGAUAAAGGCUUCCCGUGCCCGGCCUUGAAACUUCCGAUGUGUGCAGCGUUAAAAUGUUUCGCAAAUACACACCAAUGACACAGACUAA